AGAUGUUAUGAUGAACACAAUGUUCAAUUGCUCUGAAGAAGCUGAGUGAAACGGCCUUUCUAAACGUCC
This is a small nucleolar RNA of Suncus etruscus (white-toothed pygmy shrew), 69 nucleotides long. RefSeq annotates it as small nucleolar RNA Z40. The transcript has a single exon. The record is from RefSeq and is a predicted model, not a curated record. Lineage: Eukaryota; Metazoa; Chordata; Mammalia; Eulipotyphla; Soricidae.